UGGGGAAUAUUGCACAAUGGAGGGAACUCUGAUGCAGCGACGCCGCGUGAGUGAUGAAGGAAUUCGUUUCGUAAAACUCUGUUCUAUGGGAAGAAAAGGACUGUACCAUAGGAGAAAGCUCCGGCUAAAUACGUGCCAGCAGCCGCGGUAAUACGUAUGGAGCGAGCGUUGUCCGGAAUUAUUGGGCGUAAAGGGUGCGCAGGCGGCUUUACAAGUUGGAUGUGAAAUAUUGUGGCUCAACCACAAACGUGCAUCCAAAACUGCAAAGCUUGAGUUAAGGAGAGGUAAGUGGAAUUCCUGGUGUAGCGGUGGAAUGCGGAGAUAACAGGAGGAAUAACGGUGGCGAAGGCGACUUACUGGACUUAAACUGACGCUCAGGCACGAAAGCGUGGGGAGCAAACAGG
RNAcentral lists this ribosomal RNA (404 nucleotides) under Fusobacteriota bacterium. RNAcentral's name for it is "Fusobacteria bacterium partial 16S ribosomal RNA". It matches the Rfam family "Bacterial small subunit ribosomal RNA", at positions 355 to 776 of the family's 1533-position model. The record is from RNAcentral. Lineage: Bacteria; Fusobacteriati; Fusobacteriota.